CAAAGAACACACCAUUCAAGUAAGGCAGAUGUGCAUCGACCUUCACAAGUCAGGCAAUGGCUACAAGAAAAUAGCCGCUCACCUGCACCUGCCCAUAUCUACUGUCAGAGGAAUCAUUAACGAGUUUAAAACCACUGGAACAGCGGUAAACAAGCCUGGACAAGGACGCAAGUGAAUUUUGCCACCAGGCUGAGUGAGGAGGAUGUGAUGACAUAACCAAAGUAAGACCAGGAAGGAACGUUUUUGAAAAACAGAGGAAAUAAGAACGUUGAUGAGGUUCGCUGAAGGGAAACACAACAGCACACAACGUUGUCUCUACUAUGGAAGGAGGAAAAGGAAAUAAAGGGAAAAUCUGCCGCAUUCAAAUCAUUCUCUUUGCAUACAAGAGAGACAUGCACGUAUGCUUUAUAGCGACCACAGUAGUGUUUCCAGUUUAGAAUAUUAAAAACAUUAGU
This is a long non-coding RNA of Dunckerocampus dactyliophorus (ringed pipefish), 455 nucleotides long. RefSeq lists it as uncharacterized. Lineage: Eukaryota; Metazoa; Chordata; Actinopteri; Syngnathiformes; Syngnathidae. The record is from RefSeq and is a predicted model, not a curated record. The transcript has 3 exons.